UACGUAGGGUGCGAGCGUUAAUCGGAAUUACUGGGCGUAAAGUGUGCGCAGGCGGCCGCGCAAGUCGAGUGUGAAAGCCCCGAGCUUAACUUGGGAAUUGCGCUCGAAACUACGUGGCUGGAGUGUGGCAGAGGAAGGUGGAAUUCCACGUGUAGCGGUGAAAUGCGUAGAGAUGUGGAGGAACACCGAUGGCGAAGGCGGCAUCUGGACCGGCAUUGACGCUGAGGCGCGGAAAGCCAGGGGAGCAAACGGG
This 253-nucleotide ribosomal RNA is filed under the name uncultured bacterium. RNAcentral's name for it is "partial 16S ribosomal RNA". It matches the Rfam family "Bacterial small subunit ribosomal RNA", at positions 524 to 776 of the family's 1533-position model. The record is from RNAcentral.